RNAcentral lists this ribosomal RNA (404 nucleotides) under Verrucomicrobiota bacterium. RNAcentral describes it as "Verrucomicrobia bacterium partial 16S ribosomal RNA". It matches the Rfam family "Bacterial small subunit ribosomal RNA", at positions 355 to 776 of the family's 1533-position model. Lineage: Bacteria; Pseudomonadati; Verrucomicrobiota. The record is from RNAcentral.
UGGGGAAUAUUGCACAAUGGGGGAAACCCUGAUGCAGCGACGCCGCGUGAGCGAAGAAGGCCUUCGGGUCGUCAAGCUCUUUUAUGAGGGAAGAUAAUGACGGUACCUCAAGAAAAAGCCCCGGCUAACUACGUGCCAGCAGCCGCGGUAAUACGUAGGGGGCUAGCGUUGUCCGGAAUCACUGGGCGUAAAGGGUUCGCAGGCGGAAUAACAAGUCAGAUGUGAAAGGCAUGGGCUCAACCCAUGUAAGCAUUUGAAACUGUAAUUCUUGAGAAGUGGAGAGGUAAGUGGAAUUCCUAGUGUAGCGGUGAAAUGCGUAGAUAUUAGGAGGAAUACCUGUGGCGAAGGCGACUUACUGGACACAAAUCUGACGCUGAGGAACGAAAGCGUGGGUAGCAAACAGG